RNAcentral lists this ribosomal RNA (279 nucleotides) under uncultured bacterium. Its description in RNAcentral is "partial 16S ribosomal RNA". It matches the Rfam family "Bacterial small subunit ribosomal RNA", at positions 506 to 784 of the family's 1533-position model. The record is from RNAcentral.
UGCCAGCCGCCGCGGUAAUACGUAGGGAGCAAACGUUGUCCGGAUUUACUGGGUUUAAAGGGUGCGUAGGCGGACUGAUAAGUCAGUGGUGAAAUCCUCCCGCUCAACGGGAGAACUGCCAUUGAAACUGAAGUUCUUGAAUGUAGUUGAGGUAGGCGGAAUGUGUUGUGUAGCGGUGAAAUGCAUAGAUAUGACACAGAACGCCAAUUGCGAAGGCAGCUUACUAAGCUACGAUUGACGCUGAGGCACGAAAGCGUGGGGAGCGAACAGGAUUAGAUA